RNAcentral lists this ribosomal RNA (252 nucleotides) under uncultured bacterium. RNAcentral describes it as "partial 16S ribosomal RNA". It matches the Rfam family "Bacterial small subunit ribosomal RNA", at positions 524 to 776 of the family's 1533-position model. The record is from RNAcentral.
UACGGGGGGGGCAAGCGUUGUUCGGAAUUACUGGCGUAAAGGGCUCGUAGGCGGCCAACUAAGUCGGAUGUGAAAUCCCCAGGCUUAACCUGGGAACUGCAUCUGAUACUGGAUGGCUUGAAUCCGGGAGAGGGAUGCAGAAUUCCAGGUGUAGCGGUGAAAUGCGUAGAUAUCUGGAGGAAUACCGGUGGCGAAGGCGGCAUCCUGGACCGGCAUUGACGCUGAUGAGCGAAAGCCAGGGGAGCAAACGGG